GGGAGACACGGAGCAGGCCGUGAGGCGUGAGGCGAGCGCGGAAAGUGCAGCCCCGGAAGCGGAGUCCGAGUAAAUGGGGUCACGGUCACUGAGGAGGGCUCUGGGUGCUGGCCAGGUCUUCAGAAUGUCCUCCGUGGUCUGUGGAGCGGCCACUGCAGGGUCUGGAGCAAACAGACGGGAGCAGACUGGAGAAGGUCAGCGGUGCAAGCACACUUUGCCGAAAGGGGAAGAUGUGUGACCCCUGAAAAGGCGGAGGACUGGAUGGACACCCUGUCUGAACAGGAAGCCGGAAUCCAGGCCCUUUCUUGUUGAAGAGCAUCUGGUCUACACGGAAGAGACUGUGAUCCCUCUGCCAAACGCCUGAGCCGGUGACUGUUGCUACCUCAGGGGUCAGCUUGUUUGACUGUGGUGGUUAUCAUCUGUCUCUAGCCGGCAUCACUCUCUGACCACUCUUGUGCACUUGUCCUUCCGCCCGGCCGAACUUCACUCCUAGGAUGUUUCUGCCGUGCUCCUCCCUGGGGUGCUGACUGAGGUGCUGCCUGCUGCUGCUGGGACGGCUCGACCAUGACUUUCUGGGCCGUCGCCUCCCUGGGGCUCAAGGAAACCCUUCCAGUUUCCCUUUCUCUCGCCCGUCGUGGCGAACCUUCUUGAAAGAAUCAUCUGCACUGCCUGGCUGGCUGGGCCGCCCUCCAUCACCCGUUGCAAUCUGCCUUCUGUUCUCAGGAUCAGUGCCCAGACUGAAGUCACUAGAGAGAGCCAUACUCCAGGUCCGGACAGUGCUUUUCCUCCCUGCUCUGACUCCCUCUUUCUGGGAGCAGAGGUGUGUCGGAGGCGUGACAGCAGCAGCCCGAGUGGCUGGCACCCGGGGAGUGAACGUGGAGAGGAGCUGGGAAGGUAGACAAGAAGUGGAUCGGGAAGGGUGCGUGAUGCCUGAAGGAGUGCGAACUUCAUCCAGGGUCCGAGCAGGGCUCCCUGGGCCGUCCUGCCGGGGCUGUCUGCUCAGAGCCCCCUCCCGCUCCUCAGUGCUCCCCAAACGCUUGGACAGGGAGUUGCUUUGGUGACUCCUCCUCCCUCCCGCCUGGGGCUAACUCCCAGCUGUCAAGUCAGCUCGUGCGGACCUCCAGACCAUAACUGCCUGGUCCUGUCAUCACAGUGUCACGAACCUCUCUCCACACUGGCAGUUCUGAGGCUUAAGUGUGUUGCCAGCACACAGAAGGUGCUCUAUAAAUGGCCAAAGAAGCCCAUCUUUUUUUUUUUUUAAUUCAGUCCAGUUCAGUCACUCAGUCGUGUCCGACUCUCCGCGACCCCAUGAAUCACAGCACGCCAGGCCUCCCUGUCCAUCACCAACUCCCGGAGUUCACUCAGACUCACGUCCAUCGAGUUGGUGAUGCCAUCCAGCCAUCUCAUCCUCUGUCGUCCCUUUCUCCUCCUGCCCCAAACCCCUCCCAGCAUCAGUUUUUUAAAUUAAUGAAUUCGUUUACGGCUGCACCCUGCCCUAGUUGUGGCUCUCUGGGUCUUCUGCGGCAGUGGGUGGGCUUCUCUCUCAGUGAGGCACCUGGACUCAGCCUCUGUGAAUUGUUACCCUGUGGCACGUGGACUCACUUCCCCACCCAGGGAUCAAACCCACACCCUCUGCCCUGGAGGCAGCUUCCCAACCGCUGGACCCUCAGGGAAGUCCCAACCCACCAUUUUUUUCAGAAACCUUUAACUCUUAUAAAGCCCAGCACACUAAGUGAAGGUGCCUUGUAACAACUCUUCUGGGUGUCUUUGAUUUUUAAAUAGAGGCAUCAUUUGGCUUUAAUAACCAGACGUUCAGGAACGGCACAUCCAGCUGACCCAGGACGCAACAGCAGCCCUGACUAGCGCACUCCCCGGGGUCAAGCACAGGGACGCGCCCGGGCCCUUCUCACAGCUGCUUCCUCUGGACUCCGGGGUCCUGCACUCGCGCGUGAUUGCAUUUGACUCAGGGUUCACAUACAGCGGGACUUAAGGCCCAAGGUUGGAACUGGGGUCCCGGUGCGGGUAGCUGAGUAUUGAUUUGAGGCGGAUUCGACUUUCUGCCAACAGCCUGGCUUUCCUCAGCCGGGAGUACCCUGAGGCUGGACAAAGUGCUGCCGGAAGGGAAC
Long non-coding RNA from Bos taurus (domestic cattle), 2126 nucleotides. NCBI's taxonomy places the organism in Eukaryota, Metazoa, Chordata, Mammalia, Artiodactyla, Bovidae. The record is from Ensembl.